Molecule: ribosomal RNA, 468 nt
Filed under: uncultured bacterium
Lineage: Bacteria
Description: partial 16S ribosomal RNA
Rfam family: Bacterial small subunit ribosomal RNA
Source: RNAcentral
GACGAACGCUGGCGGCGUGCUUAACACAUGCAAGUCGAACAGAAAGGCCCUGCUUUUGUGGGGUGCUCGAGUGGCGAACGGGUGAGUAACACGUGAGUAACCUGCCCUUGACUUUGUGAUAACUUCAGGAAACUGGGGCUAAUACCGGAUAGGAGCUCCUGCUGCAUGGUGGGGGUUGGAAAGUUUCGGCGGUUGGGGAUGGACUCGCGGCUUAUCAGCUUGUUGGUGGGGUAGUGGCUUACCAAGGCUUUGACGGGUAGCCGGCCUGAGAGGGUGACCGGCCACAUUGGGACUGAGAUACGGCCCAGACUCCUACGGGAGGCAGCAGUGGGGAAUAUUGCACAAUGGGCGGAAGCCUGAUGCAGCAACGCCGCGUGCGGGAUGACGGCCUUCGGGUUGUAAACCGCUUUCGCCUGUGACGAAGCGUGAGUGACGGUAAUGGGUAAAGAAGCACCGGCUAACUACGUG